UGGGGAAUUUUGGACAAUGGGCGCAAGCCUGAUCCAGCAAUGUCGCGUGCAGGAUGAAGGCCUUCGGGUUGUAAACUGCUUUUGUACGGAACGAAACGGCGAGCUCUAAUACAGUUUGCUAAUGACGGUACCGUAAGAAUAAGCACCGGCUAACUACGUGCCAGCAGCCGCGGUAAUACGUAGGGUGCAAGCGUUAAUCGGAAUUACUGGGCGUAAAGCGUGCGCAGGCGGUUAUGUAAGACAGAUGUGAAAUCCCCGGGCUUAACCUGGGAACUGCAUUUGUGACUGCAUAGCUAGAGUACGGUAGAGGGGGAUGGAAUUCCGCGUGUAGCAGUGAAAUGCGUAGAUAUGCGGAGGAACACCGAUGGCGAAGGCAAUCCCCUGGACCUGUACUGACGCUCAUGCACGAAAGCGUGGGGAGCAAACA
RNAcentral lists this ribosomal RNA (427 nucleotides) under uncultured bacterium. Its description in RNAcentral is "partial 16S ribosomal RNA". It matches the Rfam family "Bacterial small subunit ribosomal RNA", at positions 355 to 774 of the family's 1533-position model. The record is from RNAcentral.